CCUACGGGGGGCAGCAGUGGGGAAUAUUGCACAAUGGGGGAAACCCUGAUGCAGCGACGCCGCGUGAGUGAAGAAGUAUUUCGGUAUGUAAAGCUCUAUCAGCAGGGAAGAAAAAAGACGGUACCUGACUAAGAAGCCCCGGCUAACUACGUGCCAGCAGCCGCGGUAAUACGUAGGUGGCAAGCGUUGUCCGGAAUUACUGGGUGUAAAGGGAGCGCAGGCGGGAAGCCAAGUCAGCUGUGAAAACUACGGGCUUAACCUGUAGACUGCAGUUGAAACUGGUUUUCUUGAGUGAAGUAGAGGUG
Molecule: ribosomal RNA, 305 nt
Filed under: uncultured bacterium
Lineage: Bacteria
Description: bacterial SSU rRNA
Rfam family: Bacterial small subunit ribosomal RNA
Source: RNAcentral